RNAcentral lists this long non-coding RNA (259 nucleotides) under Setaria viridis. Its description in RNAcentral is "long non-coding RNA (SVIR_LNC005642)". The record is from RNAcentral. Lineage: Eukaryota; Viridiplantae; Streptophyta; Magnoliopsida; Poales; Poaceae.
AAAGAAACCAAUGAAAGAUUAGCAGCAGAAAAGAAAGCAGCUCAAGCUACAGUCCAAGCAGCAGCCCAGACACCCAAGACCAUUCAUCAUACCACCUUCUAGCCACAUCCACCAUAUUACCCACACUCAACCAACCUCGCAACUUUCUAGCCCACCAUGACGUGGCAACACUCACCACAGAUCCAACAUCAGAUUCAACCAACCUCGCAGAAUGCGAACUUCACACCCUCACAACCUUGCCAUGAAAUACCACUUCCAC